GGCUUACUCUCAGGAUUCCAAAAGGUGAAGAGGCGGCUAAUCAAGGUCUCAAACCUUGCUUUUCUAACUUGCCCUCCUUUUCUCCCCGGGCUGUAUUUACAUGAACUCCCAGGCCGGCCUGGUCGCCACCGCUGGCGCGGUCUGCCUCCGAGUCCCCAGCUUAAGCGUCUGCCAGGCGGCGCUUCUUUGAGGAGGAGGGAGAGGAGGGCGGACCCUCCACCGCGGGGCGCAGUGCGCCGUGAGGAUGGAGCAUCGCUGCCGCCGGGAGAGAGCGAGCGUGCGCGACUUUCGGGGUCUGCCCACCUCCGCCCCAACCCACUAACUCCGCAGACAGCUCAGGAGAUUGCUGUGAGAACAAGAAAAAACCGUCCUGGAGACCAAGGGUGCCCCUACCAGAUGGAUUCGGGCAUCUUCCCCUUCGCUUCUUCGCGAGGGAGGCCGCUUCACGCGCAGAAUAUCUACCCUCCAGUUCAUCAAGGGUGACGCUGUGUGAAAGAAAGAGGCCUCUGCUGUGUGCGUUUGAUAACAGUGCACUCAAGUCUGCUCAGAAGGUGAAACAGCCCUGGGCCACUUCAUUUUGAAGCUCUGAAUAUAUUUUUUAAAUGAAGACAUGCCAAAAUAGUUACCAAAAUUUUAAUUGUGGUUUACGAUCCUUUAAUAAUUCAAUGCUCUUGACACGCACACGCUAACAUAAUGACUGCACGUGUAAGCUCAUCAGGAGAUGAUGCCAAAAAGGCCAUAUGUGAGGCCCCUGAUGAACAUGAGGCCAGAACCAAAUGGCCCUUUUGCUCCACUCCCAGCCCAGAGAUUGGCUCUGUGCCUUCACAUGCUCGGAACGGGAGAGGAAGUGGCCUGAAGCGAGCUGGGAAUUAAGCCUGGAGCAGAGGUAGUGAGGUCUGAGGAAAAGCCUGCUUGAAACCAGGUUCAUACUGGGCCCCAGUUUGGAUACCUCACCUUCGUCAUGCCUCGUUGCCCACCUGUUAGCUGAAGAAUGUUAAAAGAGGCUCGAAGGAGAACAAAGAUAAAAAUGGAGUUCCAAAGAAGAAAGAUGCCACUGGCGGGAAGCAGGAAUGCAUUACUAAAUGCACCCUAAAGAUGCUUCCUCCCCCCUCCGUCCCUCCCAUCCUUCCCUCCUUCCUGAGUCGGAAUCAGGAUACUUUAACAGGCAGUUGGCAAAGAACACCAUUCAUCCCAAACAAGCAGUGUAGUCUUUCCUGUGUUUGGUCUUUAUUAAAAUCUUGGAAUUCCAUGCCUCCUCUGAAUUUCCAUGUGGCUUCUCUUUAUGCAUAAACAUCAAAAAGGAUGCAGCUUGUUACAUAAACUUGGUAGACUGCAAAAGCCUGCCAUGUGUUUAUGCAUUACAAAGAGCCCUGCACAGUUAAAACCAAACUAAUUAGGAGGCGCAAGUCAAAAGAAGUUCUGAAAUGUUAUUAAUAAUUAUAUGUGACAAAAUCAGUUUAUUUUUAGAUUUCUGAGAAAUGCAUUUCUGGUUUGUCAUUGCUCUCCACACCUGUGAUCGUCUCUCAGUCUGUCUGCUUGCCCUCUCCUGCUCACCCUCCACAGUGAGUCGCAGGCGGAGGAACCCAUCAGGGCUGCUAUUCUUCAGCUCUCUAACCUUCAGCUGUGUGACUGGCUUCUUGGGCAACACGAUUGCCUGUCAUUUAACGUGCGUGGAUGGAUGAGCUCAUUAACAAGCCGCCCCAGGGGCCCUCUCCAUUGGCUGUUCUCGCAGACCCUAGUUCUUUUUCUCCACCCAACAGCAACGGUGGGCCUUCCCUGUCUGGUGAAGCACAUCCUCACACCCGUCUCAUUGUGCGCCCUUCCCCCUCCUGGAGGAGAACUUAGGGCGGUCAGGAGCAAUCAUUCUAAGCAUCCUGCUGAACCUGCGCUUUUCACGAAGGCCACUCUUUCUCCAGGACGCCACCAGCUCUCCAGAGCCCUCCCCUGGGUUCCCAGGGAGGAACGGUAACCUAGUCAGCAAUUCUUACUUCUUGCUUUGCCGAGGGGCUGCUUCCCCCUCAUGGGUUAGCACAUGUCUGGUAGGAAACCCUUAAUUCCUCUCGUUGUUGCCUCUUGCGGUGAAGCUGUGCAGCCCUAGACUGUGGGAAAGCCCUCCUGGGAAUCUGAGAGGGCUCUGUCAGAGCUGCCUGCCGAGGGUACAGGGAGGUGGGAAGCCCAGGGGUUUUACUUCCCUAAGACACAGGAAUUCAGGCUCUCCCUGUCCAUGUGUCCUGUGGUGAGUGUCUGUCUCUGAGUCUCUAGGGAUUUGCUUUCAAGUUUUAAAAAAUUUAAUGAUUAGGAUCCUGGCUUUUUGUGCCUUGGUUUCUCCUUUCUAAGAAAGGUGAAAAUAUUUGGGUUAAAUAAAGCUAAGUCCAGGUUUCUUUUGGGGGACCCUGAGAGCGCAAUGUGCCUCUUCUUUCUCAUAAUCUAGUCUCAGGAUGUCUGCCCCAUCUCUGUCUUGUUUUCUCCUUCUUACUCCCUCUCCAACAGAAUACUUCCUGCCACCUCACCCCAUGGCUUCUCAGUUGUUUUGCCCUUUUUAGACUCACUUCUAAUCUCUGCGCUAUUUUUCCGUCAGCUUCAGACAGGAACCCCUAGUGAAGAAAACCUGAGACAACACUGAUGAGAGCAAGUUUUUCUGAAUCCUUCUAAUCCCCGUGGGUCUUUCAGAGGUCAGGAGCGCCCCAGGCCACUGCCAUGUGCUGAGGCUUCCAGAAUACUUU
Long non-coding RNA from Equus asinus (donkey), 2723 nucleotides. NCBI's taxonomy places the organism in Eukaryota, Metazoa, Chordata, Mammalia, Perissodactyla, Equidae. The record is from Ensembl.